GAUGAACGCUAGCUACAGGCUUAACACAUGCAAGUCGAGGGGAAACGGCAUCGAAAGCUUGCUUUUGAUGGGCGUCGACCGGCGCACGGGUGAGUAACGCGUAUCCAACCUGCCCAUCACUUGGAAAUAACCUUGCGAAAGUAAGACUAAUGCCCAAUGACAUCCCACGAAGGCAUCCGAAUGGGAUUAAAGAUUUAUCGGUGAUGGAUGGGGAUGCGUCUGAUUAGCUUGUUGGCGGGGUGACGGCCCACCAAGGCAACGAUCAGUAGGGGUUCUGAGAGGAAGGUCACCCAGAUUGGAACUGAGACACGGUCCAAACUCCUACGGGAGGCAGCAGUGAGGAAUAUUGGUCAAUGGGCGAGAGCCUGAACCAGCCAAGUAGCGUGCAGGAUGACGGCCCUAUGGGUUGUAAACUGCUUUUAUAAGGGAAUAAAGUGGGUCACGUGUGACUUUUUGCAUGUACCUUAUGAAUAAGGACCGGCUAAUUCCGUG
This 492-nucleotide ribosomal RNA is filed under the name uncultured bacterium. RNAcentral's name for it is "partial 16S ribosomal RNA". It matches the Rfam family "Bacterial small subunit ribosomal RNA", at positions 28 to 507 of the family's 1533-position model. The record is from RNAcentral.